AACGCGUGGGUAACCUGCCCUAUACACAUGGAUAACAUACUGAAAAGUUUACUAAUACAUGAUAAUAUAUAUUUACGGCAUCGUAGAUAUAUCAAAGUGUUAGCGGUAUAGGAUGGACCCGCGUCUGAUUAGCUAGUUGGUGAGAUAACUGCCCACCAAGGCGACGAUCAGUAGCCGACCUGAGAGGGUGAUCGGCCACAUUGGAACUGAGACACGGUCCAAACUCCUACGGGAGGCAGCAGAG
RNAcentral lists this ribosomal RNA (244 nucleotides) under uncultured Peptostreptococcus sp. RNAcentral describes it as "partial 16S ribosomal RNA". It matches the Rfam family "Bacterial small subunit ribosomal RNA", at positions 112 to 354 of the family's 1533-position model. Lineage: Bacteria; Bacillati; Bacillota; Clostridia; Peptostreptococcales; Peptostreptococcaceae. The record is from RNAcentral.